Molecule: ribosomal RNA, 757 nt
Filed under: uncultured archaeon
Lineage: Archaea
Description: bacterial SSU rRNA
Rfam family: Archaeal small subunit ribosomal RNA
Source: RNAcentral
CUGGGUGGGAUAGCUCGGGAACUGAGUAUAAUGCCCCAUAGGUAUAGGACGCUGGAAUGCCCCUAUGCUCAAAACUUCGGUGCCCAAGGAUGAGUCUGCGGUCUAUCAGGUUGUAGUAAGUGUAACGGACUUACUAGCCGACGACGGAUACGGGUCGUGAGAGCGAUCGCCCGGAGAUGGACUCUGAGACACGAGUCCAGGCCCUACGGGGCGCAGCAGGCGCGAAAACUUCACAAUGCGGGAAACCGCGAUGAGGGAACUCCAAGUGCCUAUGCUUAGCAUAGGCUGUUCAGAUGCCUAAAAAGCAUUUGAAGUAAGGGCUGGGUAAGUCGGGUGCCAGCCGCCGCGGUAAUACCCGCAGCCCGAGUGGUGGUCGUUAUUAUUGGGCCUAAAGCGUCCGUAGCCGGUCCGGUAAACCUUUGGGUAAAUCGACGUGCUUAACACGUCGAAUUCCGAAGAGACUGCCGGACUUGGGACUGGGAGAGGUCGGAGGUACUCUUGGGGUAGGGGUGAAAUCCUGUAAUCCUAAGAGGACCACCAGUGGCGAAGGCGUCCGACUAGAACGGGUCCGACGGUGAGGGACGAAGCCGUGGGGCGCAAACCGGAUUAGAUACCCGGGUAGUCCACGGUGUAAACGCUGCAGGCUUGGUGUUGGGGGUCCUUCGAGGGCGUCCAGUGCCGAAGAGAAGUUGUUAAGCCUGCCGCCUGGGGAGUACGCUCGCAAGAGUGAAACUUAAAGGAAUUGGCGGGGGAGCAC